GCAUAUCAUUAGAGGGAGGAAAAGAAAACAACAGUGAUUCCGAUAGUAGCGGCGAGCGAAGUUGGAGAAGCCCCGAUGGUAAUGGUGAAUGCCAGUUGUAAGGGGAAGCGGGUAAUAUUCUGAAAUGAAUAUCCAUAGAGGGUAAAAGACCUAAAUGUAAACCUGUUAUGUUGAGUAGCACUGUUUGGUAGUGCAGUGUGAAAGGGUGGUUGUAGGCACCUAAGGCUAAAUACGACCAAUGACCGAUAGCGAAUAAGUACUGUGAAGGAAGCUAUCUGCUGUAGUGGCAGAGAGUGAAAUCGAGCAUGCGGAAGGCAACAUGUUGCACCCGUCUUGAAACACGGACC
RNAcentral lists this ribosomal RNA (347 nucleotides) under Episeptum anaboliae. RNAcentral's name for it is "LSU rRNA". It matches the Rfam family "Eukaryotic large subunit ribosomal RNA", at positions 38 to 667 of the family's 3401-position model. Lineage: Eukaryota; Fungi; Microsporidia; Gurleyidae. The record is from RNAcentral.